CCUUCGACGAGCGGCGGUUAGAAACAGGCGUAGUACUCCCUACGACGCCGCGAUGAUCUGCGCGUGCCAGCAGUUUGCUCUGGAUCAGUGACAAAUUCGAAAACACGUGAGGAUCAUCGGUGUUAUUGAAAAGCUAUGUGUUCGUCCAUAGCGCGCCACCGGAACAGCACCAGCUACACAGCCUCCGCCGAGCUGCGCCAGAGCGCGCCACUCUACGCGCGCCGCCGGCCCGACGACGAAGUAGCACACGACAGGAAUAGGCGGCGUGGGUUGGCGCGAGGCUACAGAGACAGGCGGAACCACUCGAAAUUUUGAUCAUUUGCGGGGAUCAAGAACUCUGCAAGCUCUUGGUCUCACUCGAGACAUGAGAAUACAGCUUAGUCCAUCAUCUUCAGGGAAUGAUGUCCAAAAGCGAGGUAACAAACUGUCUAUU
This is a long non-coding RNA of Frankliniella occidentalis (western flower thrips), 433 nucleotides long. RefSeq lists it as uncharacterized. The transcript is spliced from 3 exons. Lineage: Eukaryota; Metazoa; Arthropoda; Insecta; Thysanoptera; Thripidae. The record is from RefSeq and is a predicted model, not a curated record.